GGCUGUUGGGGCCAGCAAAGGGUGCUUUACUAUUUUUAAGCAGUGGAAAUCCUUUAGGUCCUUCCACGCCUGUGGACAGACACUCCUUUAGGCUUUGGUUAAAGAUAUGGUCAAUAGGGGUGGCAAUACAGUCUGCUACCAUUCUCUAUAGUUUACCAUCUAGGUUGUCUAUACAGUCUGCUACCAUUCUCUAUAGUUGACCAUCUAGGUUGUCUAUACCUGGUGGUAAUACAGUCUGCUACCAUUCUCUAUAGUUUACCAUCUAGGUUGUCUAUACCUGGUGGCUCAUCAUUAUUGAUAGAUAACAAUAGUUGACCAUCUAGGUUGUCUAUAGUUUACCAUCUAGGUUGUCUAUAGUUUACCAUCUAGGUUGUCUAUACCUGGUGGCUCAUCAUUAUUGAUGGAUAACAAUAGGUUUUCCACCUCUUCCACACAAACGUGACCAAAUUCAGAACAGCG
Oncorhynchus tshawytscha (Chinook salmon) is the source of this 459-nucleotide long non-coding RNA. Lineage: Eukaryota; Metazoa; Chordata; Actinopteri; Salmoniformes; Salmonidae. The record is from Ensembl.